This 90-nucleotide small RNA is filed under the name Marisediminitalea aggregata. RNAcentral describes it as "Aestuariibacter aggregatus t44 RNA". It matches the Rfam family "t44 RNA". Rfam says of the family: This family consists of a number of bacterial RNA genes of between 135 and 170 bases in length. The record is from Rfam by way of RNAcentral. Lineage: Bacteria; Pseudomonadati; Pseudomonadota; Gammaproteobacteria; Alteromonadales; Alteromonadaceae.
AUAAACUUAAUUUAAACACACACAUACACUAUGACUGCGUGUCGGGGUGUCCGCUUGCGGAUCGAUACAAAGGGUGUAUGGAGGCCUAAC